This 68-nucleotide transfer RNA is filed under the name Pangasius djambal. RNAcentral describes it as "tRNA-Glu". The record is from RNAcentral. Lineage: Eukaryota; Metazoa; Chordata; Actinopteri; Siluriformes; Pangasiidae.
GACUGGGAUUAGUGGUUAGGCCACAGCACUCUCACCGCUGCGGCCCGGGUCCGAUUCCCGGCCAGGCG